AGCCAGGCCAGGUCCUGUCACACGGGCACUCCUAACGCAGAGGUCACUGUCCGAGACAGGCCAGGUCCUGUCACACGGGCACUCCUAACGUAGAGGUCAUUGUCACAGACAGGCCAGGUCCUGUCACACGGGCACUCUCAACGUAGAGGUCAUUGUCACAGACAGGCCAGGUCCUGUCACACGGGCACUCCUAACGUAGAGGUCAUUGUCUGAGACAGGCCAGGUCCUGUCACACGGGCACUCCUAACAUAGAGGUCAUUGUCCGAGAUAGGCCAGGUCCUGUCACACGGGCACUCUCAACGUAGAGGUCAUUGUCCGAGACAGGCCAGGUCCUGUCACACGGGCACUCCUAACGUAGAGGUCAUUGUCUGAGACAGGCCAGGUCCUGUCACACGGGCACUCCUAACAUAGAGGUCAUUGUCUGAGACAGGCCAGGUCCUGUCACACGGGCACUCCUAACGUAGAGGUCAUUGUCUGAGACAGGCCAGGUCCUGUCACACGGGCACUCCUAAC
Oryctolagus cuniculus (rabbit) is the source of this 513-nucleotide non-coding RNA. The record is from RefSeq and is a predicted model, not a curated record. NCBI's taxonomy places the organism in Eukaryota, Metazoa, Chordata, Mammalia, Lagomorpha, Leporidae.